Molecule: long non-coding RNA, 2082 nt
Organism: Fukomys damarensis (Damara mole-rat)
Lineage: Eukaryota; Metazoa; Chordata; Mammalia; Rodentia; Bathyergidae
Exons: 3
Source: RefSeq, a predicted model, not a curated record
UCCCUCUGAGCCUACCAGUCUCUAGAGGUGAUCUCUUCGGCAAGCAAAAAUGCUAUGGAGAACCCCAUAUCUGAACCUCUCACUGUUUUGGAAUGUAUUUUCAUGAGAAAGCACUUGCCCAGAAGGGUGAGGACUGUCUUUCAUCCUUGAGGGAAGCACAGUUCAUGUCAGCUGAGUGGCCAGGUCAUGGGGAUUUUCAAAGGCAAAGAGGAACUGGGAAUCUGUAUGUAAAGGAAUAUGGAAUAAGACAUCUUUUAAAUCCAGUACUGAGAACCAACCAUCGUCUUCCAGUGUCUGAGAUAGGAGAGUAUACAGACUCUUCAACAGCUAACAGAAGCUCAGCAAAGAGAGAGAGAGGAAGUCCCACAUUCCAACCUGGAGAUUUAGUACUGGCAAAGUCUCUUCCCUCAUCGUCUCCUUCCCUAGGACCAACUUGGGACUCAUGCCCUGGGACCCAGAAGCCACUGCACAGAGUGAGCCAACACCCAAAUACUCCUGUGGACCCAUAGAAGGAUUAAAAUUCUUGUUCAAAAAGAAAAUGAAGCCUCCAGAUAAGUAAUCUAAGAUGUUACUCUUAGCUCUUUUACCAAUCACCUCACCACCUAAAGGACAGUGCUGUUCCUUUCUCAGGUGGGCAUAGGAAUAUACAGAGUCAUUUUGAUAUAGAAAGCUGUUAGAAAUAUUGUAGGAAGUCAGACAGGGUUGGGCCCUUAAAGUCAAUGCAGAGGAUGAGAAAACAUCGAAUUGGUGGCUGGUGGUGAAUCUGAGAAAGAUCAAAGUCACAAUGGCCAGACUUGCAUACUUCCCUAUAGGAUGAAUAGAAGUUUGAGAUUACUGGUACUACUCUUUUGGGUUUUCUGGUAUAGAUAGACCAUUAUCUUCCUGGGGGUGAGUCAUCCUCUCCCACCCACUACAGCUAAGACCACUAAGACUAAGACUACUAAAACUAUGAAGUUUUAAGCCUAAAACUACAGAUUAUCAACCAAGGUUAAUGAUGUCAUCUAUAUACUCUAGUUACAAUUGGGUCAAUGUUGCCUAAGUUACUAUACUUGUAAUCCUGUUGGUUGAUUAUAGCUUUUACCCACAUUGUACCCAUCCCUCAUGACUCUGCUCUAUAAGACUUACUUUGAAAAGUGGGCUUGUUGCCAACCCAUUUAGGACCCCUCCUGUCUUCCAGGAGCUAUUCUUAUUCCCCAAUGCAUUCCUAACCUACUCCUAACCUCCAUAAUUUGUUCCUUAGAAUUCAUUAUUUGACUUCGAGAAACAAGAACUUGGCAUAUCUGACAUCAAACAUAGCUACAUCUAUCCCCCCAUAUCAGUUAUAACAAAUGUCUUGCUAGAUAUGUGGUCUGUCCCCUUGCCAAGUAUAUCAGUAUUUCCUUGGUGGGUAUCCCUACUUCAAGGAGAUGACUGAAAUAAGCUACAAGACUAUGCAGACGAGACAAAAAAUAGCCCACCAUCACAAGGUAACUGAGUGGUUUAUAAACUAUAUUCUUAAUGACCCUGGGCAUAAUCAGAUUUUUUUCUAAGAAUGCCACUGAAACCUUUCUACAGGCUUAAGACUGCUGUUAAUUAGAAGUAAGUGUUCAAUCAUGAGGGACAAAAAAUAUCAAUAUCAAGAUGGCUGUUUUGCAAUAUGGGAUGAUUAUAUAUGAUUACCUCCCCACAAGACACCAUAGUAGAAAGGCCCCAUUAUGUUGGGAACAAAAAUAAUCAGUAUUCUCAUUGGCCUAACUCUACUAAAUACUUGUGGUGGACAUCCCCUGAGUAGGGUAUACACACAAUAACUUUACAGGCUGAAGACUGGUCUACAACAAACUGUUUAAUCACCUUAGAAUUAGAUGGGAGGCCCCCAGUGGCACUCAUGCGUCUUGUGGAACCAAUUUGUAGCCCUGGAUAACCCCUAGAAAAAUAGGGAGGUGCACUCUGGGAUUUUUGUGGUUAUAAGGCAGGAGUGUUAAAAACAUAGACAAACCUGCAAACUCACCCCACCUAAGACACUGAUGGUCUAGAAGUGUAUUUCACUGGUGUGAUCAUGUUGUUUCUAUCUUUACCCCCUUCCCAGGGUUAGAAGGUGUCAUG